GGGGAUAUAGCCCAGUUGGUAAAGUGCUUGCCUCACAUGCAUAAGGCCCUGGGUUCAAUUCCGAGCACUCCCC
RNAcentral lists this transfer RNA (73 nucleotides) under Ictidomys tridecemlineatus (thirteen-lined ground squirrel). Its description in RNAcentral is "Spermophilus tridecemlineatus (thirteen-lined ground squirrel) tRNA". It matches the Rfam family "tRNA". From Rfam's summary of the family: Transfer RNA (tRNA) molecules are approximately 80 nucleotides in length. Their secondary structure includes four short double-helical elements and three loops (D, anti-codon, and T loops). The record is from Rfam by way of RNAcentral. Lineage: Eukaryota; Metazoa; Chordata; Mammalia; Rodentia; Sciuridae.